GGUGGCCUUCAGGAACGGGCCGAGGGGUUGCCGCGCGCCCUGCGAUGACGGCGUCCGGCUCCCGGUGUGGCUGAAGCGCGCGGCCUCAGGACGUGGCCGUUCGCAGGAGACCAAGACAACAGCCCGGCGAUGGCAGGAACUUCCCGGAUGGCGAGGCGGCCUUCCUUGGCGCUCCGUGUGGAUCCUCCCCGCUGGGCAUCCGAGAGCUGAGUCGGAGGCUGCAAAUUGCAGAGGGGCUGAAAUCGGGGUGCCGGGUCGGGACUCGUGACCUGGGAUUAUGGAGUCAGCUUUGGGGACGGGGAGGUCCAGGCUGUGGCCCCUUAGGCCACGUGAAGGGAGAGCCUCACAUUUGUUCACAGUGCUGAGGUGUGCAGGACGGAGCAGCCCCAGGGCGUGUUGUAUCACUUGUCCAUUGUGCCUUGUGUGUCUUUUGUGCUUCUUGUGUUGUACGUGCCUCGCCUUAUCUCUUCUGGGGGCUUACCAGAAACCCCGGCGUCACUCCUCGCAUCUCUGAUCUCUGGGCUCCUCAGCCCGACACCAUCGAAGCUUUGCCUCGGGAGCCCUCAGAGGUCUUGGAAUCGCGUCUCUCUUUUAAAAGCAUCCGAUCGGAUAGCUUUUAGAGGUCUUCUUCCGUGCUGUGUCAACAGCCGUGCGCCGCGAGGAUCCAUUGUUGCGGCUUAGGUCUUGAAGAAACGCAAAGAUUGGUAGGGGACUGUGGCCCUCAGAUUCUCGGGCAUCCGUCUUGGCAGUUGCUGGAGUUUGUCAUUCCAUCAGCAUCUUCUUCCUCCCGGGUUCUGCGAGCUUCAUC
Molecule: long non-coding RNA, 808 nt
Organism: Poecile atricapillus (Black-capped chickadee)
Lineage: Eukaryota; Metazoa; Chordata; Aves; Passeriformes; Paridae
Exons: 3
Source: RefSeq, a predicted model, not a curated record